Molecule: long non-coding RNA, 3028 nt
Organism: Oncorhynchus tshawytscha (Chinook salmon)
Lineage: Eukaryota; Metazoa; Chordata; Actinopteri; Salmoniformes; Salmonidae
Source: Ensembl
GUUCAUAGCAAAAUAAUUUGUCCAAAUGAUUUGUUCAAAUUUCAACUGCUCUUUCUGUACUCUUAGUUUGCAAAACAUUUGAAGUACUAAAAUAAUGUGGGAUAGAUGUUGUGGUGAGCAAGACAAACGGUAGGUACUGCAGACACUUCAUUUGCAGUUCUCAAAACUGUAAAGAACAAAGAGCAUGGAGGGUAAAGGAGAGCUAGGCUUAUUUGUUUUGGGAUGUCGUGUUCGUCUGCAGUGUACCAGUGGAAAUCAAUUUGUGUAGGCAAGACUACGAAUACAGGAAAAGGGUGAGGAAGCAGGCGAGACCAUUAACCAUACAUAGCAGGCAUGGAGGAAGAGAACGGAAAGACACCAGAGGGAAAAAACUGAGAUAAAUAGAAAUUGCAAUAUGGAGACAUGAUAGUGGCCACCCAAACAUGGCAAAUCAUAUUUCCUCUGGUUUUACGAGGCUCCCUCCCAGGCCCCGUAAGGUUUGCAACCUUUAAUGUUCCAUAACACCAUGCUUUUAAGGUAGCACUGUUUUCUUAGACGGUUGCCAUAGCAACAAGGUCAUGCCAAAGUGUAGCGGCUUACAGGAGUGUGAGGACUGGCGUGGUGCCAGGCUGGCGAACUGCUUCCCCAGGCCAACGCAAGCAGACAGGUGCCUUGAUUGCACUCAGGUAACGACAACAAUCAAGCUGGGUAGGCCUGCACCAGAAAUAGCUGGCAGACGGCUGAGCAGACAGAGAAAGCACAGAGAGCAGAAGGGGACAGAGGCAUGGGGAUUGUCAUGAUAAACUGAACUAACACUGGUAGGACGUGCACAGCGAAUGUCUCCCAUUUGUUUCAUGAGGCCAAUCUGUUCUAACACCUAAGUCAAAUAUACAAUGUGCAUGGUUUUCACAUUCGGGUGCACAAGCUGUAUCCCUAAGCCCAGAAAGAAAGCGGAGACACGUUAUGCAAAUUCAAAAACACUUGUGAUAAAACCUCGGUCUUCAUACGUAUAAAACGGCUGUCUGCGUCUACAGCAGCUGGCGGGGAUAACAGUGCCCUGCCUGCCUGGUUUAGCCCCUCCCCCUGCACUCUGCAGUGCUGAGGCAUCCCUCUGUGUUCCCAUCCAUCAGCAGCCUCUACAAAGAUGAACCCACUGUCCUCCUCUCCUCCAGCUCUCUCCUCAGUCCUUUUUUCUAACUUUGAAAGUGCACAGAUGCAGGCGAGAUAAAUAAGCUAUAUGUAGUCGCCGAUAUCUCAUUGAUCAUGCUGCUAUAUACAAACAAGGGCAUAGCAGGCUAAUUGUGUUCAUGAGGCAAUGCACUGCAAUGUACACAGACGUGCUGACAAAGAGCGAGAGAGGGUUUGAGUGUACACGGUAGCACAAAGAGAAAGUGCCUGUGUGCAUAGGCAUGAGACAGAUGGCGAGUGUGAUGUGACGUGUUUGAAAGUGAGCUACAGAUCCAGCUUCCCUGUAAGAUACAGUAUGAAUGGUGUCGGUGUGGAGGUCGAGCAGAAAUGUGAUUGUGGGUGCGCUUUGUAGUAUGGUUGAAGUUGUAUCGCUGUAACCGCUCUAGCAGACGUGCAGCCUAGGCGUUUUCUCUGAUCUGUGCAGCACGGCGUAGGGGUGUGUGAUGUAGCACUGAGCCGCUCUGUCUUACCGUCCUCAGCCAUGCUUAAUAAAGUUGCCGUUUCCUGCUUGGCGACUGCAGAGUAGAUGCCGCUGGACUCAAGUUGCCCAGGCAGCAGAGAGGCAGCAGACAGACCCAUAGUCCAAUAAAGCUAUUUUUAAACGUUCAUGUGGGAAUCCUGUGGUCAAUGGUCUGAGAGCUGGGGCAAGCCAGGACAGGACUGGGUGGAAGAGGAGAGAGCGGCGUACUCGACCAGGACCUAGGGAGAGGCAAAGGACGUGGACGCUGGAGUGAGCAGCGUAGAAAGAGAGAGGGAGGGAGUGAGAGAGGGAGAGGUAAGAAAGACAACAGCGAAAGCUCUGCCUCUAACGGCACCACUGGGCAGCGGCAAGUCUAGAAAAAAAAAAGUGUAUACUUUCGCCUUCCUUUCAAAGUUAAAAAAAAAAAAUUCUGUACAGUAGAGGGGACACUGUAAUGUUUUUGGCUGUUCGUUUUCUGUGUCAGCUGUUCGCCUUCUGUGUCAUUUUCUCUGAUUCGCAAAGAGUAAACCACAUCAAGAUGAGAGAAUUGGUCAUAUCAGCCCUUAUUGAAAAUAAUCAACUGAAACCGGCAGACAUGCAGGAAAUUUCCAGAUGAAAAUGCAUGGAAAGCGGCACAAACCAGGGGAAAUCAGCAUCAAGGCUGAAGCACAUCGCUUGCCGUAAGCGGAAGAGAGAGAAAGUCCUUCGGACUGCUGCAUUUCUGCUGCAGACUCUCACACACACCGACCGACACAUAUCCAGAGUGGAAACAAAGGGCGGAAAGCCUCCAUUGCGGUGGCGUUGGAGCAUGAGAGAUCUGCAGUGCUGGGGCUCGCAGACAGGCAGGGCUCUCUGUGAGGAAGGACCAAACCAAAUCCCCAGACAGCUAAUGCAGUCGCCCGCCUGCCCCGCCAUCCAUCUGAAUCUGAAUCCUAAUAUGCGCUGCGCCACAGCAUGUUGCCGUGACAACAGAGGCCUGUCAGACGGGGAGGCAGGAGGCUGUUUCCCAGCGAUACGGCGAGGCUUCUCUUCUCUCGGUCUGCUGCCAGCCAUAUUGUAAUCAUGGCACCUAGAGAAAACAUUAGCAAAAAUCUGUAUUUUAUUAAGAUUAUUACAUAUUUUUUUCAAACAAGGAUGCGUGAUCACUUUAAUAAGUUAAGUUACAAAAAAAACGACAUAUUUAUGUUUCAAUACAGACAUGUUAAGUCAAAUUAAAGUGUUUAUGGCCUGGGGCUGAAUGUAUGGUUUAUUGCUGUGCAAUUAUGUAAACCUAACCUCUGUCGUUAGGUUAUUCAUUCUUCCCUGCCUCUUCUGAGUAAUAUGUAGCAUGUAAUGCUUAGGACAGUCAGUUGAAACAGACCUGAAAAUGAGAACAGUUUCAAUGAUAUUAAAAACACACGU